GGUAUUUGUAUUAUAAUUGAUGAGGUAAUGUGUUUACCUUAUUGCUUACUUAUUUUCUUAAUGUAAUAACUUGUAUUUUAGCCGUAAUCAUCUAUAUACCAGCAGGACCAUAGUUUAUUUACUAGAGAAGCCAUAUUUAUUUGUGUAUUGGCGGCCUAAUACACGAGAUUGCCUGUAAACAUAACAAGCGUUUUGAUUGGCCGAUCCAUUGACCGGAAAAUUAUAAAUAGAAGGUUGACAAAACGAACUUUAGAAUUAUUCUCAUCGUCUGCAAGAGCAGUCACAUUUCUUAUCUACGGAUAACUUAUAUUAGUAAACCUAAAUCAGAAUGUCUGAACCACAGUCAACCAUUAGUAUGGUACGCAGGUUUUAAUUGUUUUAAGAAAAACUUAAACCUUCUAGCACAUGGCUAUUGUUUGUUUUGCAAAAGUCAACCUUCGACCUACGGGAAAGUCCCGUCAACCAUCGUUCCCCUUAAUCAACCUUCUAUCGAUGCAAUAAUAUGAAAAGAGGUUUUCUGGAAACCUACUUUGUUUUAGGAAAUAAGAUAUAUGGAUAUUUUAUUAUAAACCAACUCUUUAAAGUAUUUCAUACUUUUGGAAAUAGAAGGUUGAAGUUCAACCUUCUAUAA
RNAcentral lists this long non-coding RNA (631 nucleotides) under Mytilus galloprovincialis (Mediterranean mussel). Lineage: Eukaryota; Metazoa; Mollusca; Bivalvia; Mytilida; Mytilidae. The record is from RNAcentral.